RNAcentral lists this ribosomal RNA (382 nucleotides) under uncultured eukaryote. RNAcentral describes it as "partial 18S ribosomal RNA". It matches the Rfam family "Eukaryotic small subunit ribosomal RNA", at positions 592 to 976 of the family's 1831-position model. The record is from RNAcentral.
UGUAAGCGUAUACCAAAGUUGUUGCAGUUAAAACGCUCGUAGUCGGAAUUUGGCAGUUCCGGAUGUGUGCACGUCGUGUGCGCACUUCGCGGGGAUUGCUUUUGUGGUCUUGCGUAGGAUGAGGCACUUUUAUUAGUGAACGUCCUCACGCAACCACUUUUUACUGUGAGAAAAUCAGCGUGCUCAAAGCAGGCAUUUGCCGUGAAUGUAUUAGCAUGGAAUAAUAGAAUAGGACUUGGUUCUAUUUUGUUGGUUUGUUGGGACUGAGUAAUGAUUAAGAGGGACAGUUGGGGGCAUUUGUAUUUCGGUGCUAGAGGUGAAAUUCUUAGAUUACCGAAAGACAAACUGCUGCGAAAGCGUCUGCCAAGGAUGUUUUCAUUGA